This 458-nucleotide ribosomal RNA is filed under the name uncultured bacterium. RNAcentral describes it as "bacterial SSU rRNA". It matches the Rfam family "Bacterial small subunit ribosomal RNA", at positions 340 to 786 of the family's 1533-position model. The record is from RNAcentral.
UACGGAAGGCAGCAGUGGGGAAUAUUGCACAAUGGGCGAAAGCCUGAUGCAGCUAUGCCGCGUGUAUGAAGAAGGCCUUAGGGUUGUAAAGUACUUUCAUCGGGGAGGAAAAACAAAACUAAUAAUUUUAUUUCUUGACGUUACCCGAAAAAGAAGCACCGGCUAACUCCGUGCCAGCAGCCGCGGUAAUACGGAGGGUGCUAGCGUUAAUCAGAAUUACUGGGCGUAAAGAGCACGUAGGGUGGUUUUUUUAAGUCAGAUGUGAAAUCCCUGGGCUUAACCUAGGAACUGCAUUUUGAAACUGAAAUACUAGAGUAUCGUAGAGGGAGGUAGAAUUCUAGGUGUAGCGGUGAAAUGCGUAGAUAUCUGGAGGAAUACCUGUGGCGAAAGCGGCCUCCUAAACGAAUACUGACACUGAGGGUGCGAAAGCGUGGGGAGCAAACAGGGAUUAGGAUACC